GAGGUGCUGUUAUAUAACACAGGCACUGUAUAGCAGCCUUAGGUUAUGAAUAUUAAGAGACAAUCUCAAAUGAGAUAAUAUCAAUAAAGACCUCCUGUCGUCUCUACCCAAGAAAUAAACUAAAGGAAGGCAGUGUCCUUGCAGGCAUUUUGACAUCAGGGAUGGGCAAAAACAUACAUCCAUUUAAGAAUUCUAGAAUCAGAGACUAGGAAGAGUUGAAACAACCUUACAGAUCACUUGAUGCACUUUAUAUAGACCCAGGGGAGAAACAAAAAGACCAACUACUAAAGCUGCUAAAACAAGAUAAAGCAUACUGCAAGGGAAAGGCUGGAGCAGUUCACUGGCUGAAGUUAUAAACUCCAUCAAGAGACACACAAUCAGAUGGCACAACUGUCUUCAGUGGGUCACAGUUUUCCAAAUACAAAGGCGGUGCCUACCGAAGCUCUGGGAUUCUGGAAAAUAUACUGGACUUGGAGUAAGACAAUCUCAGUCCAUGUUCCUAGUUCUAGGAUUUUAGGCAUAACACUUGGCUUUUAGGGCAUUGUAUUUUCUUUAUAGUAACAUGGUAUUAAAAUGAUGCCUAUCAACAGGCUUGUCAGGAUGAGUCAACAGCAUAUUAGAUGGGAAAACACCAUAAAGUACAAAAGGCUUGUUAUCGUCAGUCUCCUUUGGUUGUUAUAUUGGUUAAGAGGACUAAUUGUUGCCUCUCUCCAAGUUCAGAACUAAUUCAAACAUACAUAGAGGAGUCAGAGGUGGAUCAAACAUUAUUUUUAUUACUAGUUAAGUUGGAUUUAAGAACAUGGCUUGACUUAUAGCUUCCUACUGUAUCCUAUAACACACUAUUUUUUCAUAUUCUGCCCUUUCUCCUUGAUUAUACUAUAAGCUUUUGGAGAGAAGAAAUUAUGCUUUAUAUCUCUCUGCAUCCCUAGAGUUUUUCACACAGCCAUAACCCCAGCAGGUGUGCUAUCUGAUAAAGGAGACUGCAUUUGUACCACAGUUUUCUAUGUGAAGCCUUUUUUCUCCACUGGCCUGGGAACUCUUGGAGGGCAGGGUUCAUGUCUUUUCAUUCCCAGUGCUUAGCAUAAUACCUAGCACAUAGUAGAUUCUUUAUAAAAGUGUGUUGAAAGAUCAUGAAAACAGAAGGGUACCAAAUGAUCUGGUGCCACCCAGGGGUUGCAGAGAGGGAUUUAUUUAUUUUUUAUUUUUUUUUUAGGAUUAUUAUGAAUAACAGUGAAUAUAAAUAUGGAUUGAAAAUAGUCCUUUUGGUGAUUUCAAAAUUUUCUGGUUGGCCUCUGAGACAGGUGGCAUCUUAAUGAAAGAGGGGAAGCUCCCCAUCUGGGAAGGCUCAGAAGUGGGGCCUACCCUAUUUCCUUAACACUCAGGACACUAGGAAGCCUUGCAGUUUACUUGUAUCCAAGUGAGGGGAUUUGCCUAUUCUGUUAUCUACUUUGAAAUGUUAGCUCCUAAAACAUGGGCAGGUAGCUUAAAAAGACAUCUGAAAUAAACACUGGAUUGAAGGCAAUGCUAAUAAUGGAAGCACAAGUGAACAACAAGCAAAAGGCAGGCUGACACUUCUAUUAUUCUUGAUAUAAACUUUUCUUCAACCAUGUUAUAAAGUAAAAAAUAACGAUGAACUAAGCAGAGAGGGAUUUAAAGGAGGGCUGUCUUCUAAGGAUCCCAUUCUUGACAGUUUGUUCAUUUGGAAAAUAGCACUACCUGCAAAUUAUUGUGAUUGAAGGUUUUAUUUGAGACAGUUUUCCCCAGGAGAAACUUCAGCUUCUGUUUACUUGUUAGGCACCCUGGCUAUCUGGGCAUCUGAGCCCUGGACAUCUUAAUUAGAGUUGGUCUGCUAAUGUCCAUAGCAGAGAGGAACUGUCACUUGGUAAUUAAGUUAGAGCCAUGACAGAAGCCUGUGACAUCUGAUGUUUCAGAAUAUAACAACCCUUGUUCUUCUCCCAAGGGAUGCACACACCAUGAAACAAUUUCCUUUGGAGUUGCUGGUAGAAUCUGCUAACAUAAUAUCUAAGAUGAGAUGGCAUGCAGAGGUCUCUGUAAGGGGUGAGGACCUCAAAACACUCUUGUGAAGUAUGCUGCUCCUCAGUUCAGGGCCUUGCAGAGGAUCUGAGACAACAAACCUUCCUAUACAGAUAAACUCUCGGUGCCUCAGUGGAGUGAGUGCAUGAGAUGUGGCUUACUCAGCUGUGGCCACCUGGGCAGGGUUGUUGUGGAGUCAGGUCCUCUGCUUUAUGUGAUUGUUUCUGUGUUUUUUAAGCCCUGAGCUGUGCUUCCAGAGAUGUCUGCACCUGUGCACUGCAUUUUGGACUAUAUGCUCUGUGGACGCUGUGAGAAUCCCCUAACUUUGCUUUUUUUUUUUUAGGACAAAUCAGAAUAAAACAAUUCAACUUUCAAGGUAUUAAAAGGAUUCAC
This 2427-nucleotide long non-coding RNA is filed under the name Homo sapiens (human). RNAcentral describes it as "non-protein coding TMEM108-AS1:1". Lineage: Eukaryota; Metazoa; Chordata; Mammalia; Primates; Hominidae. The record is from RNAcentral.